GAAUCGACUCGAUCUCGACGGGGAACGGGGGAAACGUGUGUGUGCCGUGUGCAAUGUCGCGUCGGGCGUAACAUCGGAACGGAAUCGUAAAGUAAUAAGACAAGGUAUAUAUAUAACAUUUCCGUAGCCGAGCGCCUAUUUACAGCGAAUUACGGCCAACCAGGAAUUUGUCCCCAAUUUUAGACUACAACGUAGCCGUUAUACGCGCUUACUCCACAAUAGCCGUAAACCGUAAGGUAAGAGUUGAUCAAUCGUAGUCGAACGUGAGAAGAAUAAUCGAUGGGUCAAUUUUUACGGCUUACGACUAUUGUGGAGUAACGCUUUUUUUUUAGCUACGCUCUACGUUUUUUCUUUCUGAAGAUUGCGGAGACAAAUCCCUCGAUUGACCGUCGCUGUAAACAAGCGCACAGCGUACGGGAAUGUUAUUAUUGCGCCUUGUCCUUUUUUUACGUCAUGAAUCGGAGCGCACGUAAUCGCCGGAGUGUCGUGCUAAUGUCGUGUGUUUCGCGUGAUUUAUUCGUUUGCACGUAUCUCGCGGCGAAUGUUGCAUGGGAAUGUCGUAUAAAGUGGUGGUCGAUCGUGAUAUUGCAUUAAUUGGACUGUACUUAUCCUUGAAUGAACGAACGCCCGAAACAAUAGCGCAGCUGCUGGCGAAGCAAUAAUGAGGUUAUAUCGGCACAUCGGCCGAUGCUGUGUUGUCUUUGCUCAAAUAAGAAGAAGAGCGAACGAUUCUUUUGACCUUGCGAUGAAGUUUAGCGUCGGGAGUUAAAGCGCGAUAGCAGUACCAUAAUCUCGACCAAUCAGCGAACAAACAGACGCGGCGGGAAUAAAGGAUAUCGUCCUCCGGGGGAAGGUCGAAGGCUGGACUUUGGUCGCUUAACCGCGACAAGGGGCAAUAUUGACAAUAGGCAUAUACGGUAACGCUUUCAAUUGAUCGCGCACACAAAUGAAUGUAUAAUGGAAGAAUUGCACUUAAUAUUUGACGAACGAAUAGAAAUGCAAUUAAAAUAGAAAUGCUUUCCGUUGCACUGUUUCGUCCGGCCGAAGUCCGGCUAGAAAUAAACGGCCUACGAAGCGCAGCCGUUUCCCUACUUUGUAAUUUAUGAUUAAUCGACAAAAGUUUUGUUAUUGCGUUAUUCUUGUAUUCAGUCCCGUGUCACGUGUAUGUCUAUGUUGAAACGCGUGUGGCCGGCGCGGUGUGCAUGUACAUGUGCGCGCCGUUAAAAGAACGUCCGCGAAGGACAUCUCUGAUGAGACGAGUGUGCGUAGGACAUCGUGUGUCGCGCGCGCAUUGCUCCAACAACAACGGCUAUUUUCAAGUAAUCGACGUAUCGUCGAAGGUCGAGGAGUUUAACCUUCAACGAGCCGCGCCGUUAACCCGUGAAUGUUCCGGCUAUAUAUGUAAGUGCCGCAUACCCAGACCAGAUGGUAUUUUCUCCUUCCGCAUUGAUUAUACAUAUUAUCGCCUUGUAACUUUCUAUUUCUCACUGUCUAAUCGUCUAUACUCUAUAAGACAAAAAUUUAUUAAGCGUUUAUCGCUCCGUGAAAGUGUCUUACGGCUUUUUUAGCAGAAUUUAUAUAUACGUACGAGCGGACCGACUUAAUCACGAACAGAUUGGCACGCGCGUGCGCGCGCGUGACAAGAUGCACCUGUCAUUCAAGGUGAUUCUUUAUGAUGCGAGAGUGAGCUCUACUUUUCAGGAAUUACAUCUGUACACGUACAUGGUUUCUAGGAAUUACACACGCGUCACGUUUG
Molecule: long non-coding RNA, 1756 nt
Organism: Wasmannia auropunctata (little fire ant)
Lineage: Eukaryota; Metazoa; Arthropoda; Insecta; Hymenoptera; Formicidae
Exons: 3
Source: RefSeq, a predicted model, not a curated record